RNAcentral lists this ribosomal RNA (715 nucleotides) under Vibrio sp. 12C03. RNAcentral's name for it is "bacterial SSU rRNA". It matches the Rfam family "Bacterial small subunit ribosomal RNA", at positions 33 to 735 of the family's 1533-position model. Lineage: Bacteria; Pseudomonadati; Pseudomonadota; Gammaproteobacteria; Vibrionales; Vibrionaceae. The record is from RNAcentral.
ACGCUGGCGGCAGGCCUAACACAUGCAAGUCGAGCGGUAACAUUUCAAAAGCUUGCUUUUGAAGAUGACGAGCGGCGGACGGGUGAGUAAUGCCUAGGAAAUUGCCCUGAUGUGGGGGAUAACCAUUGGAAACGAUGGCUAAUACCGCAUGAUGCCUACGGGCCAAAGAGGGGGACCUUCGGGCCUCUCGCGUCAGGAUAUGCCUAGGUGGGAUUAGCUAGUUGGUGAGGUAAUGGCUCACCAAGGCGACGAUCCCUAGCUGGUCUGAGAGGAUGAUCAGCCACACUGGAACUGAGACACGGUCCAGACUCCUACGGGAGGCAGCAGUGGGGAAUAUUGCACAAUGGGCGCAAGCCUGAUGCAGCCAUGCCGCGUGUAUGAAGAAGGCCUUCGGGUUGUAAAGUACUUUCAGUCGUGAGGAAGGGGGURUYGUUAAUAGCRGYAUYMUUUGACGUUAGCGACAGAAGAAGCACCGGCUAACUCCGUGCCAGCAGCCGCGGUAAUACGGAGGGUGCGAGCGUUAAUCGGAAUUACUGGGCGUAAAGCGCAUGCAGGUGGUUCGUUAAGUCAGAUGUGAAAGCCCGGGGCUCAACCUCGGAACUGCAUUUGAAACUGGCGGACUAGAGUACUGUAGAGGGGGGUAGAAUUUCAGGUGUAGCGGUGAAAUGCGUAGAGAUCUGAAGGAAUACCGGUGGCGAAGGCGGCCCCCUGGACA